Molecule: long non-coding RNA, 1830 nt
Filed under: Hordeum vulgare
Lineage: Eukaryota; Viridiplantae; Streptophyta; Magnoliopsida; Poales; Poaceae
Description: long non-coding RNA (HVUL_LNC014487)
Source: RNAcentral
ACAUUUUACACAUAUUAAAAAUAUUAAAUGCUUGAAGAAAAAUUUAAAGUAUUUUAAUAAAAAAAUAUAAAUUACAGAUGAACAUUUCUUAAAUACAUGAUUAACUUUUAUCAUAAACAUCAUAUAUGUUUUUCCAUAUACAUGACAAAAACUUUUUCUAUACACAUUUAACAUUUUAUCCAACGUUUUAUGAAAAAGAUAGUUUUUUUAAUAUCAUAUUUUCAGAAUAUUUGGAAAUAUAAAAACUUAAAAGGAACACAAAAUAUGAAAAUUAAAACGUGAAAAAACAACCCAAAAGAAAACGAGGCUGGGCUGUGGUUUCCUGCACGCUGGCCAGCUUUUCUGUGUAGGCGCCUUAGACGAGUUUAUCGUUAUAAGCGAGACAUAGUGCUGCCCCCGAAAUCUGUGCUUAAGACCGUGGCUAGUCUGUGCUCGUUCGUUCGACAUGACCGGUUGACUGUUGACUUCAGAAAAACAUAAAUUCAGAAAAGAAAACGUAAAUCUAGAAAAGUUCACACAUUUGGAAAGAAGGUCAAAAAUUUGAAAAAAAGAUUCCCAAAUAUCAACAAAUUUGCAAAUAUGAAAAAAGUACAUAAACUUUGAAACAAAUAUCAAGUUUGGUGAAAAACUUAUUGAAUUUUUUAAAAAUCAUGAAUUUCUAGAUAGUUCAUAAAUUUUUAUAAAAAAUGAAAUUUGUUUAAAAAAUAUAUUCAUGUGAUAUGGCCCAUUUGUUUUUUUGGUUAGUUUUCCUUUUGUUCCAAAUUUAUUAUUUUAGCCAUCAUAGCAACGACUACGACAUCCUGAGUCGAGCCCUUGCCAGAUUUUGGUUGGUUUUUAUUUUAGUAAUUUUUCAUUUCAUACUUUUAUAAAAUAGUCUGAAAAUGAAAAUAUAUUCAUGAAUAUUUUAAAAUGAUUAAAGACUAAAUAAGUUUCACAAUUUUUUAGAAUGUGAACCCUCACUAAACACAAUGUUCAACCCAUAUAAAAAAUCAGCAUUUUAAAAAUAGUUCAUCUAUUUUAGAAAAAAUCAUCAUGUAAUUCAAAAUUAUUAACUAUAUAUUUGGAAAUACUCAUUUAUAUAUAAAUUGAUUAAAUAUUCGUAAAUAUUUUCUUAUUGGUAAAUUAUGUCCAUCUUGUAUUUAUAAGUAAGUUCAUGUAUAAAAUUCAAACAUAAAGAAGAAAUCAAAUAAAAAGUGAAAAGGAGAAAAUAACAAAAAUAUAAGAAAAAGGGUUUAAAAAAUUUAGGUAUAAUGACCAAAGUUUUUGUCAUAACUUUUAUGAAAAAGUAUUUUGUUAACAAGAUUUAUGACCAAAACUACAGUAAUACCAUAUUUACUUAUUAUUUACGAUUAGCUGUUAGCCUUUCUAACUGGGUUAUAAAUAAAUAAUAAUAACGAUUCCGCGACCAAAAACGAGUAGUUAUUUUGGUUGAAGUUUCUCUUCAUGUCUUAUUGUGUUGGGACAUAAUUUAUUUAUUGGUUCUAAGCACACUCUUUAAUGAUAUUUGUAACUUGGUUUAAUUGAUCAAUGUAGUGAAACCAAAGCCUUUUUAGCUCUUUUUCUCUAGAUAAAGUAAGUACAUUUUAUAUUAAACUAUUAUACUUAUUUAUAAUAUCAUUUGUUAUCAAAAUAUGAUGUUCACGAGUAUGUUAUUUUAUUACUUAUUUUCAUAGUUAACCACACAAAUAAUAUUGCUAAAUGUAAACUACGUGUAUGUUCUAACAAAAUAUUUCGGAAAUUAGACAAAUUAUAUAGUGUAUAAUAUUGUUGAGUGUUCUUCGGUUAUGUAGUUCAAUGAAAAGAUAUUUUUCUGCCAAACUUAAAUUAUAU